GAUGAACGCUGGCGGCGUGCUUAACACAUGCAAGUCGAACGAUGAAGCCCAGCUUGCUGGGUGGAUUAGUGGCGAACGGGUGAGUAACACGUGAGUAACCUGCCCUUAACUCUGGGAUAAGCCUGGGAAACUGGGUCUAAUACCGGAUAGGAGCGCCUACCGCAUGGUGGGUGUUGGAAAGAUUUAUCGGUUUUGGAUGGACUCGCGGCCUAUCAGCUUGUUGGUGAGGUAAUGGCUCACCAAGGCGACGACGGGUAGCCGGCCUGGGAGGGUGACCGGCCACACUGGGACUGGGACACGGCCCAGACUCCUACGGGAGGCAGCAGUGGGGAAUAUUGCACAAUGGGCGGAAGCCUGAUGCAGCGACGCCGCGUGAGGGAUGACGGCCUUCGGGUUGUAAACCUCUUUCAGUAGGGAAGAAGCGAAAGUGACGGUACCUGCAGAAGAAGCACCGGCUAACUACGUG
This 466-nucleotide ribosomal RNA is filed under the name uncultured bacterium. RNAcentral's name for it is "partial 16S ribosomal RNA". It matches the Rfam family "Bacterial small subunit ribosomal RNA", at positions 28 to 507 of the family's 1533-position model. The record is from RNAcentral.